UAUCAGAAGUUUCCUGUGACUACCAUGACA
Molecule: non-coding RNA, 30 nt
Filed under: Homo sapiens (human)
Lineage: Eukaryota; Metazoa; Chordata; Mammalia; Primates; Hominidae
Source: RNAcentral